This 371-nucleotide transfer-messenger RNA is filed under the name Sphingomonas carotinifaciens. Its description in RNAcentral is "Alphaproteobacteria transfer-messenger RNA". It matches the Rfam family "Alphaproteobacteria transfer-messenger RNA". Rfam says of the family: Bacterial tmRNA, also known as 10Sa RNA or SsrA, is named for its dual tRNA and mRNA-like properties. Its role is to liberate the mRNA from a stalled ribosome. To accomplish this part of the tmRNA is used as a reading frame that ends in a translation stop signal. The record is from Rfam by way of RNAcentral. Lineage: Bacteria; Pseudomonadati; Pseudomonadota; Alphaproteobacteria; Sphingomonadales; Sphingomonadaceae.
GCAUUUGCGCUCCGCUUCUCCGAUCCCUAUAUCGCUCCCGUCGGGUUCACCCGACUAUGGCGAUAAAUUGCGGCGUAUAAUAGACGCAGCGGACCCGGGGGCAGUACCCGGCGGCUCCACCAUCGCAGCUGACGUAAGGGAUUCGCCAUGGCGAGUUUCGUGCGACCAGCGUCGCUGAUGGGGCCGAACCAGGAUCGACGUGUGUUGAAAAGCGCUGUUUUCGUUCGGAAUGGGACCACCGUGACGGCCCAUAUAUACAAGUGCCAACGAUAACGAGGCUCUUGCGAUUGCCGCGUAAUUUGAACCUCACGGUUUAAAUUACAUCGGACAAAAGCGCGGUUGGGCUGCACCGGGCAACAGAAGCAGACACC